CUUUUACAUUGAACUGAAUAAUAAUAAUAAAAAAAUUGAAGAUACAAGUGAAAGAUCCUAUCUAUGCUGUUUUUUUUUUUUUUUAAAUCUUGACUUGAAUCUUCCUGAUUUGAAUUUGAAAAUUCACCUUAUUCUUUAGGCGGUCUCCUGACUUGCUUUUUUUUUUCUCUUCACUCUGUUCUUCAGGUGGGCUCCUGAACUUCCUUUUUUCUUCACUCUAUUCUUCAGACGGGCUCCUAGAUUUAUAAUUUCUUCACCCUGUUCUUUAGGCGAGCUCCUGAAAUUCUUUUUUUUCUUCACUCUGUUCUUCAGGCGUGCUCCUGGACUUACAAUUUCUUCACCCUAUUCUUCAGGUGGGCUCCUAGAUUUUCUUUUUUCUUCACCCUAUUCUUCAGGCGGGCUCCUGGACUUCCUUUUUUCUGAUUUUUCAAAUAUGUUCCUGAACUCAAAAUAAAAGAUGAAACUGAAAAAUAACAUCCCAUUCUUCAGGAGGGUCCUGGACAAAGUAAAUUCCCAC
RNAcentral lists this long non-coding RNA (517 nucleotides) under Capsicum annuum. RNAcentral's name for it is "long non-coding RNA (CANN_LNC012218)". Lineage: Eukaryota; Viridiplantae; Streptophyta; Magnoliopsida; Solanales; Solanaceae. The record is from RNAcentral.